This 89-nucleotide non-coding RNA is filed under the name Orenia metallireducens. Its description in RNAcentral is "SAM riboswitch aptamer (S box leader)". It matches the Rfam family "SAM riboswitch aptamer (S box leader)". From Rfam's summary of the family: The SAM riboswitch is found upstream of a number of genes which code for proteins involved in methionine or cysteine biosynthesis in Gram-positive bacteria. The SAM riboswitch acts at the level of transcription termination control. RNAcentral also lists the same sequence under 1 other name. The record is from Rfam by way of RNAcentral. Lineage: Bacteria; Bacillati; Bacillota; Clostridia; Halanaerobiales; Halobacteroidaceae.
CUCUUAUCGAGAGAGGUGGAGGGACCGGCCCAAUGAAACCCAGCAACCCCCCUGAAAGGGGAAAGGUGCUAAUUCCUGAUAGAUAAGAG